CUUGACCUCGGAUCAGGUAGGGAUACCCGCUGAACUUAAGCAU
RNAcentral lists this ribosomal RNA (43 nucleotides) under Stagonosporopsis cucurbitacearum. RNAcentral describes it as "partial 26S ribosomal RNA". RNAcentral also lists the same sequence under 1 other name. Lineage: Eukaryota; Fungi; Ascomycota; Dothideomycetes; Pleosporales; Didymellaceae. The record is from RNAcentral.